Molecule: non-coding RNA, 1023 nt
Organism: Misgurnus anguillicaudatus (oriental weatherfish)
Lineage: Eukaryota; Metazoa; Chordata; Actinopteri; Cypriniformes; Cobitidae
Source: RefSeq, a predicted model, not a curated record
UCCGAUGCUGGUGCCUGUUAGCACUGUUCCAUGGAUUUUAAAAAGUGCUAGUCUCUCCGGUUGACUCCCUGUAUGCCAGGGCACUGGUGGCUGCCAUGACAGCUGUAUGCCAGUGUCCGUAAGGUGUCAUGCCUGGCGUAAGAAGCGGAUUCUCCCUCUCGUUCCGGGCUGUGAUUACCUCUUCGCGCUGUUUUUAGCGCUGCUAUUCAGCUUGCAGUGCGCACGUGUUGACAUCAUUAAAGGGUGCUGCUGGUGUCCGGUCAACCUUUGAAUAUCGCACCAUAUAGUGCUCAAAUCCAUAUGUGUUGGGGACAUGAACGUUUUUGGUUUAAAGAUUAAAUGAUGCUCUGAAUGAGCUCUGUGAUUCCCCUAUCCAACCUCUUUAAUUAUUUUGUUUCUUUUGUUUAUUUUUUUGUAUUUAUACUUUGUUUGCUGCACGUGACUCCUCAUCGUUGUAACGUGCCCAGGUGUAUGUGUGGCCUAUUGAACCUAGUAACACACUGUGACAGAGGGGAGUGGUAUGUGAAAUUAACCCUCCUAAUGUUUUAUUGUCUCUGUUUGUGUAUUGUAUUAAUGGUCACUAUAGAGGAGUUGUGAGAAGUAGUUAAACCAUCUAUAAAAAGUGUUUAUAAUUUAUGUUCUGUUAAGCGUCUUUAACCUUUAUUUUUGGUUUAUCGCAGGAGCUGGGGUCCCACGGGUGACAGGAAUUUCUACGGUGGUGGUGCUUCUCAUCGUGUGCUGUGUAACAUCUUGUGUGUUUCGUAGUGUGAUUUGAGUGCACUUUGGUGUGUGUGGUUGUGUGGAAGUGUGCUCUGCUCAAACUGAAUUCUGUCCUCUGCCGUUGGGAGCCUCAGCCCUGCUGGUAACAUUCUCUUUUCUUUAUUUGUUUUGAUUUAACCUUUUGUUAUAAUUAAAAUUGUGUCUUUUCCUUUUAAGGGGAAAGAAUGAGUACUUGGUGUGUCUUUUUAAUCUAGUGUUUUUAAAUAUUUGUAUCAAUAAAAUUAUGUAACAUUUUGCAUUAUA